This 497-nucleotide ribosomal RNA is filed under the name uncultured bacterium. RNAcentral describes it as "partial 16S ribosomal RNA". It matches the Rfam family "Bacterial small subunit ribosomal RNA", at positions 28 to 507 of the family's 1533-position model. The record is from RNAcentral.
GAUGAACGCUGGCGGCGUGCCUAAUACAUGCAAGUCGAGCGAACAGACGAGGAGCUUGCUCCUCUGACGUUAGCGGCGGACGGGUGAGUAACACGUGGAUAACCUACCUAUAAGACUGGGAUAACUUCGGGAAACCGGAGCUAAUACCGGAUAAUAUAUUGAACCGCAUGGUUCAAUAGUGAAAGACGGUUUUGCUGUCACUUAUAGAUGGAUCCGCGCCGCAUUAGCUAGUUGGUAAGGUAACGGCUUACCAAGGCAACGAUGCGUAGCCGACCUGAGAGGGUGAUCGCCCACCCGGGAACUGAGACGCGGACCAGAGUCCUACGGGAGGCAGCAGUAGGGAAUCGUCCGCAAUGGGCGAAAGCCUGACGGAACAACGCCGCGUGAGUGAUGAAGGUCUUCGGUUCGUAAAACUCUGUUAUUAGGGAAGAACAAAUGUGUAAGUAACUAUGCACGUCUUGACGGUACCUAAUCAGAAAGCCACGGCUAACUACGUG